GACGAACGCUGGCGGCGUGCCUAAUACAUGCAAGUUGAGCGAUGAAGAUUGGUGCUUGCACCAAUUUGAAGAGCAGCGAACGGGUGAGUAACGCGUGGGGAAGCUUCUUUUUAGUGGGGGACAACAUUGGAAAACAAAUGCUAAUACCGCAUAACAACUUUAACCAUAGAUUUUAGGUUUUAAAGAGGCAUUGCCCUAACUCAAGAAUGAUCCCGCGUUUUAUUAGCUAGUUGGGGAGGUAAAGGCUCACCAAGGGGAUGAUACAUAGCCGACCCGAGAGGGUGAUCGGCCACAAUGGGAAUGAGACACGGCCCAAACUCCUUAGGGAGGCAGCAGUAGGGAAUCUUCGGAAAUGGGCGACAGGCUGACCGAGCCACGCCGCGUGAGUGAAGAAGGUUUUCGGAUCGUAAAACUCUGUUGGUAGAGAAGAACGUUGGUGAGAGUGGAAAGCUCAUCAAGUGACGGUAACUAAACAGAAAGGGACGGCUAACUACGUG
Molecule: ribosomal RNA, 497 nt
Filed under: uncultured bacterium
Lineage: Bacteria
Description: partial 16S ribosomal RNA
Rfam family: Bacterial small subunit ribosomal RNA
Source: RNAcentral